This 2904-nucleotide ribosomal RNA is filed under the name Armatimonadota bacterium. RNAcentral's name for it is "Armatimonadetes bacterium (sediment metagenome) partial 23S ribosomal RNA". It matches the Rfam family "Bacterial large subunit ribosomal RNA". The record is from RNAcentral. Lineage: Bacteria; Bacillati; Armatimonadota.
GGUAGGGAACCGGGGGAACUGAAACAUCUUAGUACCCCGAGGAAGAGAAAUCAACCGAGAUUCCCCAAGUAGUGGCGAGCGAACGGGGAACAGCCCAAACCGUUGUCGUGAAGAAGCCUGCUGGCGUUGCGGCAACGGGGUUGUGGGACCUUCCAGGCGGGGCAGCAGACCCGCCACAGAGUGAGCAACCACCUCACCACUCGAACCUCGCUGGAAAGCGGGACCAGAGACGGUGACAGUCCGGUAGGGGACGGUGGGGUGGCUCUGGGAAGGCACCCAAGUACCCUGGGACACGAGGAACCCUGGGGGAAUCUGGGGGGACCACCCUCCAAGGCUAAAUACUCCUGGCCACCGAUAGUGCACCAGUACCGUGAGGGAAAGGUGAAAAGCACCCCGGUGAGGGGAGUGAAAGAGAACCUGAAACCGGCCGUCCACAAGCAGUCGGAGUCCGAUCCCGAGGCAACUCGGGAGGGACGACGGCGUGCCUUUUGCAGAAUGAACCGGCGAGUUACGCUGGCAGGCCAGGUUAAGUCUGGGAGAGACGAAGCCGCAGGGAAACCGAGUCCGAAUAGGGCGCGUCCCGAAGCGAUUCGGGACAGGUCUGCCGGAGUAGACCCGAAACCAGGUGAUCUACCCAUGGCCAGGGUGAAGCUCGGGUAACACCCGGGUGGAGGCCCGAACCGGUGUCGGUUGAAAACGGCUCGGAUGAGCUGUGGGUAGGGGUGAAAUGCCAAUCGAACCUGGAGAUAGCUGGUUCUCCCCGAAAUGCAUUGAGGUGCAGCCUCUCGCGUUCCGUCUCGGAGGUAGAGCACUGGAUGGCCGAGGGGCCUUACCCGGUUACCGAAGUCAACCAAACUCCGAAUGCCGAGACGCCAAGCGAGGGAGUGAGACGCUGGGGGAUAAGCUUCAGCGUCGAGAGGGAAACAGCCCAGACCAGCCGCUAAGGUCCCCGAACCCGGCUAAGUGUGAAAGGAAGUGGGAGCACGCAGACAGCCAGGAUGUUGGCUUGGAAGCAGCCAUCAUUGAAAGAGUGCGUAACAGCUUACUGGCCGAAUGUGGUCCCGCGCCGACAAUGUAAGGGGGCUAAGCCGGGUACCGAAGCGCUGGAUCCGGUCUCGAACGGGGCCGGAUGGUAGGGGAGCGUUCCGCGGUAGAGCGAAGCGCGAGACGCGAGUCCGCGUGGACGAAGCGGAAGUGAGAAUGCCGGUAUAAGUAGCGAGAAGACGGGUGAGAAUCCCGUCCGCCGAAAGCCUAAGGUUUCUUAAGGAAGGCUCGUCCUCUUGAGGUUAGUCGGUCCUAAGCCGAGGCCGAAAGGCGUAGGCGAUGGCUGGCCGGUGGAUAUUCCGGCACCGGUGGACCCCGCCAUGAGCGAAGGGGGGACGCGGAGCGAAGCACCAGCCCGCCCGCGGGUAGUGCGGGUCCCACCGUAGGCGGGGCGAGGGAGGGAAAUCCCCCUCGCCACCACCGCUGGCGGCGGGGGAAGCGGAGGGGUAACACCUGAAGUGAACUGGUGGGACGCUGCGCCAAGAAAAGCCUCUAGCCAGGGGUCACCGACCGUACCGCAAACCGACACAGGUAGGCGGGUAGAGGAUACCCAGGCGCGCGAGCGAACUCUCGUCAAGGAACUAGGCAAGUUGACCCCGUAACUUCGGGAGAAGGGGUGCCCCGGGGGGAUCCGGUUCGAGACGACCGGGUUUUCCUGGGGUCGCAGUGACCAGGCCCAAGCGACUGUUUAACAAAAACACAGGUCUCUGCCAAGGGGAAACCCGCGGUAUAGGGGCUGACACCUGCCCAACGCCAGACGGUUAACGGGAGGGGUCAGGCCGGAGGCUGGAAGCGGAAAGUCGGCUGCGAAAGCGGUUGGCUUUCGGCUUCCAGUCUCUGGCCGAAGCUCCGAACUGAAGCCCUGGUGAGUGGCGGCCGUAACUAUAACGGUCCUAAGGUAGCGAAAUUCCUAGUCGGGUAAGUUCCGACCUGCACGAAUGGUGUCACGACUUGGGCGCUGUCUCGACGAGAGGCUCGGUGAAGUUGUAGUACCUGUGAAGAUGCAGGUUCCCCACGAUAGGACGGAAAGACCCCGUGGAGCUUGACUGCACCCUGGUAUGGAUGGUCGGUAUAACCUGUAGAGGAUAGGUGGGAGGGGGCAACCCCGCCGGUGGAAUACCACCCUGGCUAUACUGGCCCUCUAACCGAUCCCGAUAGAGCUCGGGAUCGAGACAGUAUCAGGUGGGCAGUUUGACUGGGGCGGUCGCCUCCUAAACGGUAACGGAGGCGCCCAAAGGUUCCCUCGGCCUGGUUGGAAACCAGGCGGAAAGAGUGCAAGGGCAGAAGGGAGCUUGACGGCGAGAGGUACCCCUCGAGCCGGGACGAAAGUCGGGCCUAGUGACCCUCUGGCUGCGUGUGGAAGCGCCAGGGUUAACGGAUAAAAGUUACCCCGGGGAUAACAGGCUUAUCUUCCCCAAGCGUUCACAGCGACGGGAAGGUUUGGCACCUCGAUGUCGGCUCGUCGCAUCCUGGGGCUGAAUUAGGUCCCAAGGGUUAGGCUGUUCGCCUAUUAAAGCGGUACGCGAGCUGGGUUCAGAACGUCGCGAGACAGUUCGGUCCCUAUCCAUCGUGGGCGCAAGAGAGUUGAGGGGAGCUGCUCCUAGUACGAGAGGACCGGAGUGGACCGACCGCUGGUGUACCAGUUGUCCCGCCAGGGGCAGCCGCUGGGUAGCUAUGUCGGGAAGAGAUAAGCGCUGAAAGCAUCUAAGCGCGAAGCUCGCCCCAAGAUGAGCUCUCUCACCAGGUCAACUGGGUAAGGCUCGUGGUAGACUACCACGUCGAUAGGCCGGAGGUGGAAGGUCAGCAAUGGCUUGAGCCCACCGGUCCUAAUCAGCCGAGGGCUUGACCAUCCCCCUCUUC